AUUGUUACUGGACUUGUAACAGCUUUGCAGGUUUACACAAAAGGGCUUUCUGGUAAUUUAUCAGAAGUCCAAAAGGGACAGGUCAGGAGCAGAGCCUGCAGAGCAGGACUGGUUCUGCUGUGGCUGUUGUUACAGCUUGGUGAAUACACAGCUGCUCUAAUGAGGGAUGUGGCAAUCCAAGCACAGCACUCAACUGUAACUUGCUGAUACCAAGGAAGUCUAUGAAGUCACAAAAACAGAGGAGCCUGUAACUUCUCCAGAAAAUACUGUACCUCAGUGGAACUUCUUCCAAAUGUGUUACGUGUAUGGGAUCGUCCAGUCAUCAUCUGGGAGAGCAGAAAAGCUGCUCCCAGAGGAAGCAGGAAUUUUGUAAUUAGAAGAGACAAUGUUUGGCUGAAGCAAAAGUAUCAGAAAAGGACUUAUACAGAUCUGCUCUGGAGACAGUCAGAAAAGCUACCAGCAAUUUUCUCACUACACAAAUGCAAAUAGGCAGACCUGAGCCAAAGUACAGAAAUACUAUUAAGGAUUAUUUGGAAACAUUUGCCAUCAGCAGGAAUGUUGUAAGCAUUUAGGUAGAGCUGCCUAGGCUCCCUUUAAAACAAGUAUGCAAGCAAAAUGAAAUAUGCCUGGAAAGUACCUGUCUCUCCCCAGUGGCCAUCAUGGGAGCUUAGACUAUUGUCUCUGGAUAACCACUUGACUCUCAGGUUAAAUGACAUCUUCUAUGUUCCCUGUCCAAAUUUUCCUGUAAAACAGGACCAUGCUUUGGUAUGGCUGUUUUCUUUGGUAUUUUCAGCACUGCAGCCAGCAAGAGAUGAUGUACUGCAAGAGAGUCAGUUUCUAUGCAGCUGAAACAGGACUUUCUCACUGAAAGCACAGGGCUUAGUACAGCUGUUGCUGCUUCAGGAUCUCAGAUGAGCUUGUCACUGGAGGUGGUGUUUUGCUUUAGCCUUAGAUACACCUGUAUCAUUUCAAUUAACUUUCAGUCUGAGGAUAUAUUCAUAAAGUUGAUCUUAAGAUAUCAUGGCAAUAAAAAUCACUCUGUACAAAAUAACCUCUCCUGCAGAAAAGACUUUCCCACUGGAAGAAAGUGAAGAGAGCAGAGUAGUGAUGCUCUCUCAGCAGGGUGGCCGAGUGUCUCGUUCCUGGCUGCAGCCUGAAAGGUGUUAGAGCAAAAGCAGGGUAGGUCAGAGCUUCAGGUUCACAAAGGAAGUAACAAAGUGCUCUAGGAAUGCUGCCCUGCCACCUCUGCUUUUGGAGCUGCAGCACUGCUAGGAAUGAGACUAGAUCUAAUAGAUGAACAGUCUAAACAAUAAAGCUUUUCUAUCAGAAGAGUCAAGCAGAACUUGACCUCUCCAGGGCACCUCAAAAAUUCUUGUCUUUCAAUGCAUGGAUAUGUCUCUUACACCAUACUGUUAAAAGUGUCCAUGAAUGCCUUGAAACAAAACAAAACAAACAAUUCUUAAAACCCCAGACAUUCAGAUGGAAAAUAUUUUUUAUUGAUCAACUAACUUCUUGUUCCCUUACUCCUCACUCAUAUUCCUGAUCUCACAUGAUCAAUUCCACAUGGUUUCAGGAUAUGCUAUUAAUCAUCUUUUAUUUUACUUUAUUCCCAUGUUACACAACAGGAAGCAUGUUUGACAGGACUAUUCAGUGAAAUAAAGGCCAAAUAUUUGUUAAUCAGUACAGUGUGUCAUAUUAUCCUGAACAAUUGAGUAUAAAUACUGAUAUAAUGGGGAAAAGUAUUUCCAUUAAACUGGUUCUUUCUAGACCAGAUUUCCACAAGACAGUUUUAAAUAGCAAUCAACCAAAGACAUGUACCACCUCAGACAAAUAGGAAAAUUAUCUCCAAGGCAAACACAAAUGCAAACACAGAAAGCAGUUGUUAGAUAUACUUAAAGAACAUGGUCUGUCAUGGUGAGAUCAUCAGAAUGGCAUGAGAAAAUCAAGACAGGAAAUUGCGAAGAAGAAUAAUGUAUCAAAGCUGAGAAAACUUCCUCCAUUAUUCAUUUCUCAAAAAC
Molecule: long non-coding RNA, 2018 nt
Organism: Zonotrichia leucophrys gambelii
Lineage: Eukaryota; Metazoa; Chordata; Aves; Passeriformes; Passerellidae
Exons: 3
Source: RefSeq, a predicted model, not a curated record